GUGGGUGUAGCUCAGGCGGUAGAGCACUGGGUUGUGGUCCCAGGAGUCGCGGGUUCGAAUCCCGUCACUCACCCCG
This 76-nucleotide transfer RNA is filed under the name Actinopolyspora alba. RNAcentral describes it as "tRNA_His_GTG". It matches the Rfam family "tRNA". From Rfam's summary of the family: Transfer RNA (tRNA) molecules are approximately 80 nucleotides in length. The record is from RNAcentral. Lineage: Bacteria; Bacillati; Actinomycetota; Actinomycetes; Actinopolysporales; Actinopolysporaceae. RNAcentral also lists the same sequence under 2 other names.